GGUGACGGACGUGGAGGGGGCGGCGGGGAGACGGGGGGGGCAAGCGUUGUCCGGAGUGAUUGGGGGGAAAGAGCGGGUAGGGGGCCAGGUAGGGCGGUUGUGAAAACUGGAGGCGCAACCUUCAGAGGUCGACCGAAACCAUCUGGCUAGAGGCCGGGAGAGGAGAGUGGAAUUCCUGGUGUAGCGGUGAAAUGCGCAGAUAUCAGGAAGAACACCCGUGGCGAAAGCGGCUCUCUGGAACGGUACUGACGCUGAGACGCGAAAGCGUGGGGAGCGAACAGGAUUAGAUACCCGGUAGUC
Molecule: ribosomal RNA, 300 nt
Filed under: uncultured Lactobacillus sp.
Lineage: Bacteria; Bacillati; Bacillota; Bacilli; Lactobacillales; Lactobacillaceae
Description: partial 16S ribosomal RNA
Rfam family: Bacterial small subunit ribosomal RNA (bases 53-300)
Source: RNAcentral